This is a non-coding RNA of Trichonephila clavata, 71 nucleotides long. NCBI's taxonomy places the organism in Eukaryota, Metazoa, Arthropoda, Arachnida, Araneae, Nephilidae. The record is from the annotation of a GenBank genome assembly.
GUCCCUGUAGCGCAAUGAAUAACGCGUUGGACCUAAUCCAAAGGUCGUCGGCUCGAAUCCUAUCUGGGAUG